RNAcentral lists this ribosomal RNA (423 nucleotides) under uncultured bacterium. Its description in RNAcentral is "bacterial SSU rRNA". It matches the Rfam family "Bacterial small subunit ribosomal RNA", at positions 355 to 775 of the family's 1533-position model. The record is from RNAcentral.
UGAGGAAUAUUGGACAAUGGGCGCAAGCCUGAUCCAGCCAUGCCGCGUGCAGGAUGACGGUCCUAUGGAUUGUAAACUGCUUUUAUACGGGAAGAAACCACCCCUCGUGAGGGGUACUGACGGUACCGUAAGAAUAAGGAUCGGCUAACUCCGUGCCAGCAGCCGCGGUAAUACGGAGGAUCCAAGCGUUAUCCGGAAUCAUUGGGUUUAAAGGGUCCGUAGGCGGAUUUGUAAGUCAGUGGUGAAAUCUCCCGGCUCAACCGGGAAAUGGCCAUUGAUACUGCAAGUCUUGAAUUAUUAGGAAGUAACUAGAAUAUGUAGUGUAGCGGUGAAAUGCUUAGAUAUUACAUGGAAUACCGAUUGCGAAGGCAGGUUACUACUAAUAUAUUGACGCUGAUGGACGAAAGCGUGGGUAGCGAACAG